GUGCAUGUUCUGGGGGUGAGUUCAUUUAAAAUGUCUGUUGUUAACAUCUAAAAGGGUACAAUAUCAAAUCUGCAGGAAGAUCCGGCUGUGACCAAUUUUUCCUCAGUGGUGCCAAAACCAGCUGUCAUCUGAGUGUGCACUUUACUUGGCAAUUAUCGCCAUAAUCAAACAGGCUUAUGUAUAUUUUAGCAAAAAGCUUGUCACAGUAGAAUCCCCGGUUCCUUGUAUCUAUAUUUGAGCGGUUGGUUAGGACGAGGGAGACAUUUGGACAUAAAACACUGUUAAUAGUCGGAGCAUCAUUAAGGGAUCUUUCCUCAUAACUGGCUUGGCGGGGGGCAGAAGAAUGAUCAAGAAUAAUGUGCGGCGCUUUGUAGCCACCCAGGUCACCGCCUGCAUACAAAUCCGCAAUAAGGAGGAGAGGCAGGGAAGGAGGGAAGGCCGGGGAGGAGGCAGGGGGUCUCAAACAGUGAAUGGGUUUGAGAGGGGAAGGGAGAGAGGGACGGUGGGUGAGGAGAACCGAUCUCAAAAAGACGGGUCAUCUCUGUGUAGCAAGUUGAGAGAUUCUGCAGGUCCUUGUUGGGAAAGAGGUGGAGGGAGGUACAGGGGAGGGGGAGGUGAUUUGGGUGAGCUGGGAGAGAGGUAACAGGGUAGAAAGAGGGGUGGCGGGGGGGGUCUCGAGCAGGCGGAGGCCCAGAGCUGUAUUCAGUGGGGGUAGGCUGCUCCAGCUCAGACGCUACUACAAAGCUGGACUCCUACGGUUCAUGAAUAAGGCGAUGAAAUAAUCAGAGAAAAAGGGAAAAGAAUCCUAAGAGAUGUUUAGACAGAUGGCCCACUUGAAACGACGCGAGGACCCAGACAGAGAAAAGUGAUUUUAAUGAAACUUCAGAUUCAACAAAUAAUUGAUCUUCAUACCCUCCUCCUCAAAAUCCCAGCAGAAAGGUGAAAGUAAAUGUGUUACAAGUGCCUUUUGCAACGGACAUUAAAAGACACUAGCUUUAAAUCCUUUGGAUUGAACUAAAUUGACAUCAUGAGAAGAGGCUGGAGGAGAGAAAAAAGAAAAAUCAAUGGAUCUCUGGCUGCGGUGAAAGGACGGCAUUACGAAUGGGAUUUGCCAGUGGGGCACAACCGCUGCCAAAUAACCUAGAGCUGAAGAAUUACAAUAAUACUGAUGAAGUGUGUGAGGGCUGUUAGAGGCAUUUCUGGAAAAUUGCUCUGAUGGAGGACAUAACAGUGCUAUAAAAUGUGUCCGCCCUCUUUGGUGCUCUGAAAAGAAACAACAAAUUCAACUCUGCCUUCUAGAAGGACCAAGGAUGAGGAAAGAGGGAAUCACCCUCUUAUUUAUUGCCCCACACACAAGUUUGUAACUGUUUGUAACUCCUGCGGUGAUAAAGAAAUACUUUUCACCUUCCAAAGAAAGGAUUGUUAUUUGCUCACCUUUAUGCAGCGUGAGAAGCAAAGACAAAAUACGCAGCUCAGUGAAAUCCAAAUCCACAUUUAUUUCAGUGUUGUAUUCAAGUUCAUCAUUUGAAGAUACCACCGUUGCAAUAAGGUUUUUUAGCCUUUGUUGAUCAUCUUGAGCUUUAUGAUCUUUAUUGAUCAUUUUGAUCAUUAGUCCGUCUAUGAAAUGAUUAUUUGCUGAACAAUGCAGCUGAUGAUAACAUAGAAAUGUAUUUGAUGGGGCAUCUUAAUAUAAAUGCACUUAUUGACACUUGUCCCAUGAGUAAAGUGCAACCAAACACUGAACAAGACCUUUUUAGGCUUAAAUGAAAGUUUGAAAAAACACACAGCAGAGUUUUAAAGGUCUAGGAAAAAUACAGCAAAAACUCCCAGACUGGACACACUGUAAAGUGUAUUUAUUGUUUUUAUUGUAUCCUUGUGUUGUUUGACUCUAAAAGGUCUGAACAGAUUUUCCUGUCUUCUCCCACUGCGCGGUGAAUUCAUGGAAAAAAAUGUGAAAAAUCAUAAUUUCAUCACAAAAUGAUAAAAUGGCAUUACAUGGUUUUAAACGUGUGGCUUUGUCCACCUGUAGAGUGUUCUUCAAUGAAGAAGAAGUAUAUAUAAUGCCGGAAGCCUCAGGGCGGCUUGGCUCCUUUGCAAUAUUCUGAAUCCAUGAAAGAUCUCCCAUCAGUAUUAGUGGCUAUAUACAGUAUGCAGACGAUUCAGUGAUGUACGAGAACAAUUUCUCUGUAUCAUCUAUGGAUAAAAUAUAGAUUUUUAAAAUCAUAACUUAUUUGUCUUACCCCCUUCACCAAAACAUGACAUCACCUGUCCAGCUGCAUUGCCCCCCAGCACUGUUUUCGUUGUGCCAGCAAAGGGCAGCGGUUCUUCCUCCAUUACAUUUUGAUAAUGCGGCUGUAAACGAAAAGAAAGGCAGCCAAGGAAAGAGGGAGAGAUGAGAUGGGGUGAAUAAAAGGAGGAGAGGAACAAGCUCCCAUCAUCUAUUUUUAUGCUGCAUUUAAUUUACAUUUUCUUUUUGCUGCCGAUAAAAGCGGACAGGGAACACAAGGACGAUGACACCCAGGGUGCUCCCCGGGUCAGAGGGCAACAGUUAACCUGUCACAAGCAGAGUACUGAUUAGAAUAAAUCUACACACACACCAGAGGUCAGCUCUGGCCUCUGCUACCAAUCUGACCCGCCACUCUCUCAGGGUCUGUGUGCAUGUCCACAAACUCUGCUUAGUGCACGCGUGUUACAGCGUGUGUGUAUCACUGAAUGUCUGAUAAUCAUUUCUUUGGUUUUGGGGGCACCACGACAGUGAUCUCUUUUUCAUUGGGGUUGUUUUCUGUUAUGUGUCACCACAAUUUUUUUCUAUUCUUGUUUGUUUCUUUUGAAAUUAAUUGAUAAAUCAGAAGUGUCCGUUACCACACGACCGGUGGGGAAAUCUACAAAUAGUACUGUCUGCACGUGGAAGUGUUCUUGAGCGGGACGUUGAAUCUCAAGGUUGCUCUCUGUGUGAUAAUUAAUCAAUGAACCACUAUUUAAAUUACUGGCGUAAUAAGAUCUAAGAGAAAACAGACUAGUAUUAUAUAAAUAAUAGUAUCCUAAGUACUAUUAUUUACUGCUCGAUAAACUAAUAUCUAGAAUUGUAAACCACAGAGCUGUCCUCCACAUCUCUUCUUUAAUGUGAGUAGAAAGGGCACUUUGGGGUGGAAAUCUAACGCACAUAAACACUAGACUUCAUCUCUGGGGCUCAGAGGGCGAGACCCUGCGGCCCUCUCGCAGAGGAUGAAAGAGCUAUCGGUGAAUAAAAGAAUGGGGCUGCUAUAGUGUACACAUAAGCGCACACUACCAGACGCACAUAGAAUACGUCAUACAAAGAGCUGGAGGCUAUCACAGUGUGAGCUACCAUGUGGGAUGUUCCUCGGCCCACACCGGUGGAGCGUGGAAAGCGUGGGGUGAAGUGAGGUUACCAACUGGAGAACUCAAUGUCUGGGAUUGUGCGUUCACUGUUGUUCUUCUGCAGCUCAUCUAAACAUGAUGAUUGGGUUGAUCAGGACUCUCGCUUCAAUGUUGCUUUUCUUGUAUUACAUUUUGUGUCGCAGGAACGGAGAGAUGCGUCUUUUACACCAUUUACAUUUUUGACGUUUGAGAUUGACUGCAACAGACAAAUAGUCUUCCUGUUCCUGUACUCAUUUGCCACCAUUGCAAGCAACAACUGCUACUGAGUACAAGGGGCAUCGACAUCUCUGCCUCCAGACAAUACCAGGUACACCUGCCUCUCCCAGCAAGGAGGCAUCUUCACACAUUUGCAUUUCAUCAGUUUGCAGAGUCUAUACUGUAGGCUGACGGUUUUACUAUCAAUAAGAAAACUGUUUUUCUUUGCCUCGGGUCUGCAUAUUAUUACAUUUUCAUAACCCGCUUCAUUUAUUUGUAGAGGUUGUAGACACUUCAACACUGCUAGAACCGACUUUAUAAUGGUGUCUCUGAAGCUGAACAGCCAGAGACAGCAACAAACUUAUUCAAGUCACUUCUUUUAAGGCAGUGUCCUUGUGGUUUUAUAUAUAUAUACAAAUGUGUCAAAUAAAACUUACCAUACCAUACCAACAAUGCUAGAGAUACAGAGAUAUAAUAAAGUAUAUAUAUAUAUAUAUAUAUAUAUAUCUUUUAACUAAGAAAAAGCAGCAAAGCAAACAAUGAAGGCAUAAUCUCCGCUGGUUUCCUGAAGGAAGCGGCUUGCGGUGGUGCAGUGAACAGGCAAACACACACUCAUCUCAUCAAAGCAUUUAAGUUUAGUCCUAUAGAACGUGUAUUUAGCCAAGCCAACCUGCAAGAUGUUUUUUUUCAUCAAAUUUCUGGUCAGUCAUCAUCAGUAAUAGUUUGGAAAGGGCACGUUUUCUUGCCGAGUGAUCGGAAAAAUGAAAAAUAAAAAAAUAAUUUGCGUAUUAAAGCCAGUUAGGAGAAGGGUUAUGACGCCGAAGAACGUAAACUCCCUCAUUUUGUCGUAGUAUUUAAGUAAUGGGGAAAUAAGAAAAAAUACAUAUUAUUUAUAGGUCGGUAAUUCAAGAAAAUGCAUUUUGUAGACGUGUGGCGAUACUAACAAGAAAAAUGUAAAUGAUUCUGAUAAAUCAUUUUUUUUGAUCAUGCAUAUCCAUGAGGUUGGGUAUGUCUCUGCUCGGUAUUUCUUAAGUACAUAAUAGGCUAAAGUUUGAAUAAAAUUGGCAAACAAAGCAGGUGCCUGUGCAGCAGCACGACGCCCACAGGUAUCUCUCAUCUCUUUUUUUCCCGUGAGUCAGCCGGAGAGAUCAGUGGUGUCAGAAGUAUCAGGCCCCAGCCUCAGCAGAAGGGGGGUCAGGUCAGGGGAACCCUUUCUUCCUCUGACCUAUUGUUCUUCCUCGGUUGGAAAACACACCGCAGCUCUUUUAUCCGCAGCUCUGCGGCCAGAGAAACAGGAAGUGUCUGCAUCACAGACUCCAUCCAUCAUCUCCAACCAACAUACCUGUGACAUGUAUAGACUUUUCACUCUGGUUGUUACCCACUUUUAACAUGACAGACUCCAUUACUCAGGGCAGUAUGAACAUCGCCAUGAUAAUCUACUUCUCCUACGCUUAUUUUAUCAAAACUAACUUUUCCCUUAGACAUUUCUACUCUUAUUUUUUCCGCUGCUAUUAAUUGUAGUUCGUGAGUACCGUGACGAAUGUUCAGAUCUGACUUCUCCUUGUAGAGACCAACCGGAGCAGCCCACUCAGACAGGCUUAACUCUCCUCGUCCCUCCUUCACCCAGCUCCAGGCCAACUCUAAUAGCAAUCAAUGAAGUUCCAGACACAAUAGCUAAUUCAAUUUCCCUGGACCAGGUUUCUCAUCAGGGCUCAAGGUCCUGUCCCCAGCUGAUAGUGCCCCGGAACAUGUCUGCAAGAGUAUGGAUUUAUCCAGAGCCUCUGUAAUAGACACAGAUAACCGGAUUGUUGGAAGAGGAGGGAGGGAAGAGUGAGGUGAGGACCAGCUCACCUGCCUGCGUGCCCAAAGUGAGGCCGGGACACACAGCCGCGAGUCACAUCCCUCUCCCCCUAUCUGCUGCCCCCUCCCUCCUGCAUUAAAACUUAAUCAAGAGACUUCAACUCCCAAUUUGCUGUCCGCAAUGAGAUUUCAGAGACUUAGAGCAAGAGGGGCAAAAAAAAAAGAAAUAAAGGAGGUGGGGUAGUGCGGUGUGUGUCUGUGGGGUGGGGGGGGGGUCUGACGGGAGAUUAAGAUCUGUGUGGCUUCGGUUCACCUACCUGGGGUCCCCCAAUGAUUCCCAAAACGGUGCGUGUCCCAAGCGGCAAGGAGAACGAGAGAAGAGAGGCGGCACCCUCCUCUUGCUAUCUGACAGCUGGUGACCCACGGGGGCAGAGGUUUGAGGGGAAGGGAUCAAACACUAACCAGACUAAAGCGAGAAAAGCAGUAUGUGGACAAAUAUGGGAGGGGGAGGGGGGGGGGGGGGGUCAAUGAUCUCUUUCUGUCUUCUUCGAUAUCCGUUCCCUGCCCCCUCGCUUGGCCCGGCCUUUCAGCUCUCCUGGACAGUAACCUGCUGCCCGCACCAGUCACAGUGAAUAACACCGGGCUGCAGUGAGGCCUAAGUGCGCAACAAUCUCCUACAGGCACUGGGACAACAGAGUAAACAAUGCAAACAUCAGAGACACAACAGCCCUCAGGCUAUGCUCCCUGGCUCUCACACAGCCGCUCUGAAGUGUGUGUGUCUGUGUGUGAGUGUGUGUUUUUGUUUCUGUGCACCUUGCUCUUUUUUUUUUGGCGUGUACAUGCGCGUUCAAAUGUCAUGUCCAGCGGUUUGAAAGCACACACACACACACACACACACACACACACGCUCUCGUUUCCGGCACCAUUUGAAAUCCCCGGUGAGAAGACACCUGAAGGCAGAUGCUGCAGUCUGAUGGCCACCGAAUCCUCCGGACACAUCAAACCAUCGCCUCCUACUAACGCAACUUAUGCACGCACACAGCAACACAGCAGCUAUUAAACACAAAUUGAAGACAUUGUGGCCCCAAUUCGGCACGCACGGGGAACAAGCAGGAGACGAAAUCCGUCCUCUCACAACAAAGGAGAUGGGCAGUGAAACCAACAGAAACACUGAUUUCCAUCCCUAAUGCAUCAGACACGGCAGCGAGAUGCUGUCUCCAAGGUGUUGAAUGGCGUGCCGGCAAUUGUUGUGUUUCUGCUGUACGUCGAGUCAAAAGCUACCAGGGCAGCCCGGUCCAGACUGGCGUCCAAUGAGCUGGACGCCAGCCAAAAUGUCUCGCAUCCCAGCAUCCCACAUUUCAGACGUCCCUUUCAACUCGUCGCGGAAAGAAAAAACGAAAAAGGGGGAGGAGAUAAUUCAAUGUGUUGUGGGCAUGAGAUAAGGCCUGGAAAUGAACAGAAGUAUCUGUAAAACGUCUAAAUAGGUACUGAGAGAGCGAAAAGCAGCAUCGGCGGCGUGAUUAAUGAAUACGUCAGAUAAUUGUUUUCCUCGCAGCGUUCCAUUAUUCCGCGUCCCCUCGCAAACGCCCCAACUAAAGCAGGAAUUCAUGAAAUAUGUAAUUUAGCGCUGACCUUUGGCAGAGUUCAGCAGGUCCCCAUCUGUGUGUGAGGAUUGGAGAGGAGCUGAGAGAGAACGAGAGAGGGAGGGAGAGAAGAAUGAUGACCCCUUUAACAGCUUGCCUGCGACUACCUGCUGAUCCAAAAACACUGGCCAGACAUGAAGCCCCUGCAUAGUCAAAGGAUCAAACAGGGCCAGAGAAUACUGCUUAUUUCAGAGAAACAGAAAGAGGGGGUUUGGGGGGGUGGAGGCGGCUGGGUGGCUGGCGUUUUUCUGCUACUUCUGCCACCAGGGAAAGGAGGGGAGGGAUGAGGAGCAGAGGGCAUGUGACAGAGAUGUAGACAGUGAGGACAGGAAGAGGCAAAAAUAAGGGGAGAGAGAACGGCAACGGGCAGAAUCACAGCUAACCCGUUUCCUCCACCGACGGGUGUGUGUGGGGGGGGGUUGGGCGGGUUAGACGGAAUCUACAAAAACUGUGCCGUUUGAAGCCUAAUCCCCUUUUACAUUCUUAAUUAGGAAACAACAAGCCAUAAGCCCCCUUUGUUGUGCUGACCCGCACGUACCAAACGGCCAUUGUGUGUCGGUGUGUUGAGAUCUGAGGAGGAGAAAAUGUCUCUGUGGUCUCUGCUUCGCCGUUGGACCGACGCAGGCGUUCAGAAAAACACAGCGCCCCGAACAAAGUCGCUUUCCCUUUUUUGGCCAAUUUUCUCUUUGAGUGUCUGAGAUGAAUUUCUAUUUUGUGAUCAUUACGUUCAUUGAAAUGACUGAAAGGAGAAAAGUGGACAGACAUUACAAACCGCUGUCAGUCUAUUCCACCCGAGGGGAUGAAUAUGUACAUAUAACAGUAUAUAUAUAUAUAUAUAUGUUUACUGUAUAUAAAUACUGUGUAUAAAAAUGGUGAUUCCUGUUUAUAAAGUAAAUGCACACUUGGUGCUGUUUGGGUGCGACAUCACGGGACUUCUGUCUUCAGAUGAGGUAAAAGAAAUGUGCCCUUAAUGAUAAUGUGAAUGAAUCCCCGCUCAGUCGUUUGUGUCUCUUACACACACACACACACACACACACACACGCACGCAUCCUUUCCUCAUCUCCUCUCAGUAUGGGCCUUGUAUCACACGCAGACCAUCGCGCAGACACACACACACACACACACACACACACACGGCGAAAUUGAUGUGCUCUCACGCACACGCGUGCACACAGAAGCAGCUGGGGAGCGCGCUGGCGGCUGACGUGAAAUGCCCACAAUGACUCCGGAGGGAUUAAUUUCUCCCACUUUAUUUGUUUAGUACAGCAUGAGGAGCAACUGGGGUGGCGGCAGCACAACAAACAGGAUAUAGGAUAGCGAGUUACUGAUGCCGCAUGCUGAUCCCGAUAUUAGGAUGAUCUGCUGUGAGAGUGUAACGUUGCUGAGUACAGAGAGGAGAAGUUCUCACGCUGUCGACCACACGCAUCAGAAAGGUUUCUGUGGAUAAAGAAAGAAAGUGUCGCAUAUUUUUAAACCCAAAGACACCCUGGCAGUGAAAUGAUUGUGGGUAAUCUAUCAAUAGAUUGAAUAUCAAUUAUGAGUCACCAUUUACAGCCUGGUACACAAAUAGAUUUAUUUGCUUGAUUAAAAUCUACUUUUCAUUGAUUCAUUUGUGCAGCGGUGACUUUUCUUUCAAAUGAUCACAAUAAAUGUGUUUGUGUCUUGAUGUUCCAUACACGGUUAUGCUGCCAGUGUCACACAUUGACUUUACUUCUUUGCUGUUUUCCACUGCUACAUGUGUAAUAAGUCGUUCAUUAAAUGUGUUUUUAUUCUUUAUUGAUGUAGAAAAUUAUUGAAGUGGUGACCAUAUAAUAAUAUUGAUAAAUGUAUAUUAAUGUUAGAUGGGCUAUUCAUGAAAAUGUGUGUCUUUCACCAGAAAUAUAUUUGUGGCACUAAA
Molecule: long non-coding RNA, 8934 nt
Organism: Gasterosteus aculeatus aculeatus (three-spined stickleback)
Lineage: Eukaryota; Metazoa; Chordata; Actinopteri; Perciformes; Gasterosteidae
Source: Ensembl